AUUGAACGCUGGCGGCAUGCCUUACACAUGCAAGUCGAACGGCAGCGCGGGCUUCGGCCUGGCGGCGAGUGGCGAACGGGUGAGUAAUGCAUCGGAACGUGCCCAGUAGUGGGGGAUAGCCCAGCGAAAGCCGGAUUAAUACCGCAUACGACCUGAGGGUGAAAGCGGGGGACCGAAAGGCCUCGCGCUAUUGGAGCGGCCGAUGUCGGAAUAGCUAGUUGGUGGGGUAAAGGCUUACCAAGGCGACGAUCCGUAGCUGGUCUGAGAGGACGACCAGCCACACUGGGACUGAGACACGGCCCAGACUCCUACGGGAGGCAGCAGUGGGGAAUUUUGGACAAUGGGGGCAACCCUGAUCCAGCCAUGCCGCGUGCGGGAAGAAGGCCUUCGGGUUGUAAACCGCUUUUGUUCGGGAAGAAAUCCUCUGGGCUAAUACCCCGGGGGGAUGACGGUACCGGAAGAAUAAGCACCGGCUAACUACGUG
RNAcentral lists this ribosomal RNA (484 nucleotides) under uncultured bacterium. RNAcentral's name for it is "partial 16S ribosomal RNA". It matches the Rfam family "Bacterial small subunit ribosomal RNA", at positions 29 to 507 of the family's 1533-position model. The record is from RNAcentral.